Molecule: ribosomal RNA, 253 nt
Filed under: uncultured bacterium
Lineage: Bacteria
Description: partial 16S ribosomal RNA
Rfam family: Bacterial small subunit ribosomal RNA
Source: RNAcentral
UACGAAGGGGGCUAGCGUUGCUCGGAAUUACUGGGCGUAAAGCGUACGCAGGCGGCUUUGCAAGACAGGUGUGAAAUCCCCGGGCCUAACCUGGGAACUGCAUUUGUGACUGCAUAGCUAGAGUUUGUCAGAGGGGGGUGGAAUUCCACGUGUAGCAGUGAAAUGCGUAGAUAUGUGGAGGAACACCGAUGGCGAAGGCAGCCCCCUGGGAUGUGACUGACGCUCAUGUACGAAAGCGUGGGGAGCAAACAGG